This is a long non-coding RNA of Cavia porcellus (domestic guinea pig), 791 nucleotides long. RefSeq lists it as uncharacterized. NCBI's taxonomy places the organism in Eukaryota, Metazoa, Chordata, Mammalia, Rodentia, Caviidae. The transcript is spliced from 2 exons. The record is from RefSeq and is a predicted model, not a curated record.
CGGAGAGUCCCAUGCAUGCGCGGAUAAUAAAACCCCUUGAUUUUUCAUGAGAGCUGGUUCCUUGGGGUCUUCUUCACACUGGUAAUCUUACAAAAGGAAGUUUAAGCAAGUUGGAAGAUCUUGCCUUCUUUUAUAUUUGAUGGGUUGUGGAAGAGAAAAGUCAGCACCUCCCAAGAAUCAUCCAUGCUGGGACUAGGAGGAGCCCACCAAGAAGCCAGCUGACCAACCUUUCUGGUACGCCAUGCAAGCCAUGGGGAGCCCAGGAAAAGUCAGACAGCAUCUCCUAUGAGCCAUGCCUCCCCUAGCACACCCAUAAGCAACAGAUGGUUUCAGAGGACAGGCUGAGUUGAUAGCGAAUGAGGUACAAAAAGCAACUGAAUGCUUCCAUUCUUUGCUUGACUUUGUAAUUCCGUGACGAGCAGUUUAAGCAUCUAUUGGGAGGACAGCAGUAUGCAAUAUAGCAAACAUGGGGGAUUUCCUUCUGUCUUGUCUUUGAAAUCCAAUAUUAUUCUCAUUGUUUUGUCUUAUUCUAAUUAACUAUUUUUGCUUUAUUCAAUGUUCUGUUUUGAUUGAUUUUAUUCUGUUUUGUUUUGAUUUUGCUAUAUCUGAUGGAAUGGACAACUAUCAUGAAGAUGACAAAAUACGCUAUGGUAGCUAUUGUUACUUCCCUAGUAUUCUGCUUUGAAGUUCUGUACCAAUUUCACUGCUUUGCUUGAUAGAAUGUAUUUUGUUUUGUUUUGUUUUGUUGGAUUUUAUUAUCUUUAAAAUAAAAAAGAUACAUUUCUUUUUAA